CCUACGCGUGGCAGCAGUGGGGGAUAUUGCACAAUGGGGGAAACCCUGAUGCAGCGACGCCGCGUGAGUGAAGAAGUAUUUCGGUAUGUAAAGCUCUAUCAGCAGGGAAGAAAAUGACAGUACCUGACCAAGAAGCCCUGGCUAACUACGGGCCAGCAGCCGCGGAUAUACGUAGGGGGCAAGCGUUAUCCGGAUUUACUGGCUGUAAAGGGAGCGUAGACGGUUAUGUAAGUCUGGAGUGAAAGCCCGGGGCCCAACCCCGGGACGGCUUUGGAAACUGUGUAACUGGAUAACAGGAGUGGCAGGCGGAAUUCCUGGUGUAGCGGUGAAAUGCGUAGAUAUCAGGAGGAACACCGGCGGCGAAGGCGGCCUGCUGGACUGAAGCUGACGUUGAGGCUCGAAAGCGUGGGGAGCAAACAGGAUUAGAUACCCUUGUAGUC
Molecule: ribosomal RNA, 440 nt
Filed under: uncultured bacterium
Lineage: Bacteria
Description: partial 16S ribosomal RNA
Rfam family: Bacterial small subunit ribosomal RNA
Source: RNAcentral